UCCUGGUAGCUCAGUUGGUAAAGAAUCUGCCUGCAGUGCAGGAGACCCAGGUUCGAUCCCUGGGUUGGGAA
This 71-nucleotide transfer RNA is filed under the name Bos taurus (domestic cattle). It matches the Rfam family "tRNA". Rfam says of the family: Transfer RNA (tRNA) molecules are approximately 80 nucleotides in length. Lineage: Eukaryota; Metazoa; Chordata; Mammalia; Artiodactyla; Bovidae. RNAcentral also lists the same sequence under 5 other names. The record is from Rfam by way of RNAcentral.